GCUGGGUGCAGUGCCUUACACCUGUAAUCCCAACACUUUGGGAGGCUGAGAUGGGAGGAUCACUUGAGGCCAGGAGUUAGAGGCCAGCCUGGGCAACAUAGUGAGAUCCCAUCUCUA
This 117-nucleotide non-coding RNA is filed under the name Pan troglodytes (chimpanzee). Lineage: Eukaryota; Metazoa; Chordata; Mammalia; Primates; Hominidae. The record is from Rfam by way of RNAcentral.